Molecule: ribosomal RNA, 253 nt
Filed under: uncultured prokaryote
Description: partial 16S ribosomal RNA
Rfam family: Bacterial small subunit ribosomal RNA
Source: RNAcentral
UACGUAGGCAGCAAGCGUUGUUCGGAAUUACUGGGCGUAAAGAGUGUGUAGGCGGUGCUCUAAGUCUGUUGUGAAAUCUCCCGGCUUAACCGGGAGGGUGCGCGGAAAACUGGCGGGCUAGAGUACGGGAUGGGAGAGUAGAAUUCCUGGUGUAGCGGUGAAAUGCGUAGAUAUCAGGAGGAAUACCGGUGGUGUAGACGGCUCUCUGGACCGUAACUGACACUGAGACACGAAAGCGUGGGUAGCAAACAGG